This 439-nucleotide ribosomal RNA is filed under the name uncultured bacterium. RNAcentral describes it as "partial 16S ribosomal RNA". It matches the Rfam family "Bacterial small subunit ribosomal RNA", at positions 339 to 795 of the family's 1533-position model. The record is from RNAcentral.
CUACGGGAGGCACCAGUGAGGAAUAUUGCACAGUGGGGGGAACCCUGAUGCAGCAACGCCGCGUGGAGGAUGACGCAUUUCGGUGUGUAAACUCCUUUUAUAUGUCAAGAAAAUGACGGUAGCAUAUGAAUAAGCACCGGCUAACUCCGUGCCAGCAGCCGCGGUAAUACGGAGGGUGCAAGCGUUACUCGGAAUCACUGGGCGUAAAGGACGCGUAGGCGGGUUGGAAAGUCAGGUGUGAAAUCCUACAGCUUAACUGUAGAACUGCACUUGAAACUUCUAAUCUAGAGUAUGGGAGGGGGAGAUGGAAUUAGUGGUGUAGGGGUAAAAUCCGUAGAUAUCACUAGGAAUACCUAAAGCGAAGGCGAUCUCCUGGAACAUUACUGACGCUAAGGCGUGAAAGCGUGGGGAGCAAACAGGAUUAGAUACCCGUGUAGUC